RNAcentral lists this non-coding RNA (30 nucleotides) under Rattus norvegicus (Norway rat). The record is from RNAcentral. Lineage: Eukaryota; Metazoa; Chordata; Mammalia; Rodentia; Muridae.
GAUACAGUGAAUCUAUAAUCUCUUGGCCUC